UGAGGAAUUUUGCGCAAUGGGCGAAAGCCUGACGCAGCAACGCCGCGUGGGUGAUGAAGGCCUUUGGGUCGUAAAGCCCUGUCAAGUGGGAAGAACCCGCAUGGUGCGAAUAAUGCCAUGCGCUGACGGUACCACUGAAGGAAGCACCGGCUAACUCCGUGCCAGCAGCCGCGGUAAUACGGGGGGUGCGAGCGUUAUUCGGAAUCAUUGGGCGUAAAGGGCGCGUAGGUGGCUACCUAAGUCAGGCGUGAAAGCCCGGGGCUUAACCCCGGAAGUGCGUUUGAAACUGGGUGGCUUGAGUAUGGGAGAGGGAAGCGGAAUUCCUGGUGUAGAGGUGAAAUUCGUAGAUAUCAGGAGGAACAUCUGUGGCGAAGGCGGCUUCCUGGACCAAUACUGACGCUCAAGCACGAAGGCGUGGGGAUCAAACA
This 428-nucleotide ribosomal RNA is filed under the name uncultured Desulfatitalea sp. RNAcentral's name for it is "bacterial SSU rRNA". It matches the Rfam family "Bacterial small subunit ribosomal RNA", at positions 355 to 774 of the family's 1533-position model. Lineage: Bacteria; Pseudomonadati; Thermodesulfobacteriota; Desulfobacteria; Desulfobacterales; Desulfosarcinaceae. The record is from RNAcentral.